This 497-nucleotide ribosomal RNA is filed under the name uncultured bacterium. Its description in RNAcentral is "partial 16S ribosomal RNA". It matches the Rfam family "Bacterial small subunit ribosomal RNA", at positions 28 to 507 of the family's 1533-position model. The record is from RNAcentral.
GAUGAACGCUGGCGGCGUGCCUAAUACAUGCAAGUCGAGCGAACGGACGAGAAGCUUGCUUCUCUGAUGUUAGCGGCGGACGGGUGAGUAACACGUGGAUAACCUACCUAUAAGACUGGGAUAACUUCGGGAAACCGGAGCUAAUACCGGAUAAUAUUUUGAACCGCAUGGUUCAAAAGUGAAAGACGGUCUUGCUGUCACUUAUAGAUGGAUCCGCGCUGCAUUAGCUAGUUGGUAAGGUAACGGCUUACCAAGGCAACGAUGCAUAGCCGACCUGAGAGGGUGAUCGGCCACACUGGACCUGAGACACGGUCCAGACUCCUACGGGAGGCAGCAGUAGGGAAUCUUCCGCAAUGGGCGCAAGCCUGACGGAGCCACGCCGCGUGAGUGAUGAAGGUCUUCGGAUCGUAAAACUCUGUUAUUAGGGAAGACCAUAUGUGUAAGUAUCUGUGCACAUCUUGACGGUACCUAAUCAGAAAGCCCCGGCUAACUACGUG